GUGUUGUAUGAAAGGAGAGACGGUUAGCACUCCUCUAGACAUGGAUGGAACACAUAUAAGGUUGAGGCACCAGCCGGCACGGUAGCUCAGCGUGUUC
Molecule: small nuclear RNA, 97 nt
Organism: Schistocerca piceifrons (Central American locust)
Lineage: Eukaryota; Metazoa; Arthropoda; Insecta; Orthoptera; Acrididae
Source: RefSeq, a predicted model, not a curated record